AUUUUGUUUUACAUUCAUUAAGUUCCAAAAAAGAGAGAAAAUUCUCAUAUGCAGUACUGCAUGGCUUUUAUGAAAACCAUGAUACAUUUUUAAAGGAUUUAUUAUUAUUAUUAUUAUUAUUAUAAAUAGUUCAAAAGAACAGCAUUUAUUUGAAAUAAAAUCUUUUGUAACAUUAUAAGUGUCCUUACUGUUACUUUAAAUCAAUUUAAUGCAUCCUUGAUGAAUAAAAGUAUUAAUUUCUUUCAAAAAUAAAAAAUAAAAAAUGACACUAACCCCAGGCUUUUGAACUGUAUUGUAUGUAACAUGAAAUUGUAAUUAACUGAAAUAACAUAGAUUUCUGAUGCCAUGUUUUCCAGGAGACCUCAGGGGAAGGAGAGCUCUGGAACUGACUCUCCAUGCGCUGGCCACCAGAUUCCCUCUAGACUGCAGCUCCUCUCUGGCCAGUGUUUCGUGUGGAUGGGAAGGAUUACUAUCCAAGGAGGUCCAUAUAAUACCAAGAAAAGCUAUUCCCUUUCAUCUCAGCUGGCAUAAAAGGUAUGUGGUUUGACAUUUGCCAUAUAUUGCUAUGUUUCAGACAUUUCAGAACAUGGAAUUCUUAGACUUGAGAAUAAACACAGAAUUGGUGCUCAGUGUUAGACAUCGAACUUGUUUAACAUCAAAUUCAGUGACAAGUGUAAAUUGGAUGUGAUUUCCAAGAUGCUGGCAACUAAAAUUACAUUCCAUUUGUUAUUUUCCAGUGGAAGUGGAAGAAUUUUGAGUUUGAGUUGACUAUACAGUAAUUGUAUUAUAACUGGAAUUUUUUGAGAUCAAAACAUACUAUAUACUUCUAAACACUCAUAAAAAUAAAAGGUUCUUUAUUGCCAUUGAUG
Cyprinus carpio carpio is the source of this 869-nucleotide long non-coding RNA. The record is from Ensembl. NCBI's taxonomy places the organism in Eukaryota, Metazoa, Chordata, Actinopteri, Cypriniformes, Cyprinidae.